GACGAACGCUGGCGGCGUGCUUAACACAUGCAAGUCGAACGGAAAGGCCCUGCUUUUCUGGGGUGCUCGAGUGGCGAACGGGUGAGUAACACGUGAGUAACCUGCCCUUGACUUUGGGAUAACUUCAGGAAACUGCGGCUAAUACCGGAUAGGAGCUUCUGCUGCAUGGUGGUGGUUGGAAAGUUUCGGCGGUUGGGGAUGGGCUCGCGGCCUAUCAGCUUGUUGGUGGGGUAGUGGCUUACCAAGGCUUUGACGGGUAGCCGGCCUGAGAGGGUGACCGGCCACAUUGGGACUGAGAAACGGCCCAGACUCCUACGGGAGGCAGCAGUGGGGAAUAUUGCACAAUGGGCGGAAGCCUGAUGCAGCGACGCCGCGUGCGGGAUGACGGCCUUCGGGUUGUAAACCGCUUUCGCCUGUGAAGAAGCGAGAGUGACGGUACCGGGUGAAGAAGCACCGGCUAACUACGUG
RNAcentral lists this ribosomal RNA (468 nucleotides) under uncultured bacterium. RNAcentral describes it as "partial 16S ribosomal RNA". It matches the Rfam family "Bacterial small subunit ribosomal RNA", at positions 28 to 507 of the family's 1533-position model. The record is from RNAcentral.